GGUGAACGCUGGCGGCGUGCCUAAUACAUGCAAGUCGAGCGAACGGACGAGAAGCUUGCUUCUCUGAUGUUAGCGGCGGACGGGUGAGUAACACGUGGAUAACCUACCUAUAAGACUGGGAUAACUUCGGGAAACCGGAUCUAAUACCGGAUAAUAUUUUGAACCGCAUGGUUCAAAAGUGAAAGCCGGUCUUGCUGUCACUUAUAGAUGGUUCCGCGCUGCAUUAGCUAGUUGGUAAGGUAACGGCUUACCAAGGCAACGAUGCAUAGCCGACCUGAGAGGGUGAUCGGCCACACUGGAACUGAGACACGGUCCAGACUCCUACGGGAGGCAGCAGUAGGGAAUCUUGCGCAAAGGGCGAAAGCCUGACGGAGCAACGCCGCGUGAGUGAUGAAGGUCUUCGGAUCGUAAAACUCUGUUAGUAGGGAAGAACAUAUGUGUAAGUAAAUGUGCACAUCUUGACGGUACCUAAUCAGAAAGCCACGGCUAACUACGUG
This 497-nucleotide ribosomal RNA is filed under the name uncultured bacterium. RNAcentral describes it as "partial 16S ribosomal RNA". It matches the Rfam family "Bacterial small subunit ribosomal RNA", at positions 28 to 507 of the family's 1533-position model. The record is from RNAcentral.